RNAcentral lists this long non-coding RNA (226 nucleotides) under Capsicum annuum. Its description in RNAcentral is "long non-coding RNA (CANN_LNC001014)". Lineage: Eukaryota; Viridiplantae; Streptophyta; Magnoliopsida; Solanales; Solanaceae. The record is from RNAcentral.
UCAUUCAACCACAUUGUUGCCUUUCCAGACAAAGACAACGGAAACAAACUCAACCAGAUCAUAUUCUGGCACACACCUAGAUUGUCAAAGGAUUUGCAAACGGUGAUAAAUUUUACCAAAUUCAUGUUCGGAUCAUCACCAGGCAAGCCUCCAAAUAACCCAUUCAUAUUCAGGAGUUGGAUCAUGCUACUUGUUAUGCUAAAUUUUACACCUGGUGCCAAUGGGC